RNAcentral lists this ribosomal RNA (588 nucleotides) under uncultured bacterium. RNAcentral's name for it is "bacterial SSU rRNA". It matches the Rfam family "Bacterial small subunit ribosomal RNA", at positions 338 to 916 of the family's 1533-position model. The record is from RNAcentral.
CCUACGGGAGGCAGCAGAGGGGAAUAUUGCGCAAUGGGCGAAAGCCUGACGCAGCAACGCCGCGUGAGUGAUGAAGGCCUUCGGGUUGUAAAGCUCUUUCGGUUGGGAAGAAGGGUGUGCGUACUAAUAAUGCGUACAUUUGAUGGUACCAAAAGAAGAAGCACCGGCUAACUUCGUGCCAGCAGCCGCGGUAAUACGAAGGGUGCGAGCGUUGUUCGGAAUGACUGGGCGUAAAGGGUUCGUAGGCGGGAACGCAAGUCAAGUGUGAAAUCCCCAGGCUCAACCUGGGACGUGCACUUGAAACUGCGUUUCUUGAGUCGAGGAGAGGGUAAUGGAAUUGCUGGUGUAGGAGUGACAUCCGUAGAGAUCAGCAGGAACACCGGAGGCGAAGGCGAUUACCUGGCCGAAGACUGACGCUGAGGAACGAAAGCGUGGGGAGCAAACAGGAUUAGAUACCCUGGUAGUCCACGCCGUAAACGAUGAUAACUAGAUGUUGCGGGAAUUGACCCCCGCAGUAUCGCAGCUCACGCAUUAAGUUAUCCGCCUGGGGAGUACGGCCGCAAGGCUAAAACUCAAAGGAAUUGACGG